RNAcentral lists this ribosomal RNA (483 nucleotides) under uncultured bacterium. Its description in RNAcentral is "partial 16S ribosomal RNA". It matches the Rfam family "Bacterial small subunit ribosomal RNA", at positions 28 to 523 of the family's 1533-position model. The record is from RNAcentral.
GACGAACGCUGGCGGCGUGCUUAACACAUGCAAGUCGAACGGUGAAGGUGGAGCUUGCUCCGCCGGAUCAGUGGCGAACGGGUGAGUAACACGUGGGCAACCUGCCCCUAACUUUGGGAUAACUACUCGAAAGAGUAGCUAAUACCGGAUAUGAAGUCUGUAGGCAUCUAUGGAUUUGGAAAGUUUUUCGGUUAGGGAUGGGCCCGCGGCCUAUCAGCUUGUUGGGGAGGUAGUGGCUCACCAAGGCGACGACGGGUAGCCGGCCUGAGAGGGCGACCGGCAACACGGGGACUGGGACACGGCCCAGACUCCUACGGGAGGCAGCAGUGGGGAAUAUUGCGCAAUGGGCGAAAGCCGGACGCAGCAACGCCGCGUGCGGGAUGAAGGCCUUCGGGUUGUAAACCGCUUUCAGCAGGGAAGAAGCGAAAGUGACGGUACCUGCAGAAGAAGCACCGGCUAACUACGUGCCAGCCGCCGCCGUAA